AACGAACGCUGGCGGCAUGCCUAACACAUGCAAGUCGAACGAAGUCUUCGGACUUAGUGGCGCACGGGUGCGUAACGCGUGGGAAUCUGCCCUUGGGUGCGGAAUAACUUCUCGAAAGGGAUGCUAAUACCGCAUAAUGUCGUAAGACCAAAGAUUUAUCGCCCAAGGAUGAGCCCGCGUAAGAUUAGCUAGUUGGUGGGGUAAAAGCCUACCAAGGCGACGAUCUUUAGCUGGUCUGAGAGGAUGAUCAGCCACACUGGGACUGAGACACGGCCCAGACUCCUACGGGAGGCAGCAGUGGGGAAUAUUGGACAAUGGGCGAAAGCCUGAUCCAGCAAUGCCGCGUGAGUGAUGUAGGCCUUAGGGUUGUAAAGCUCUUUUACCCGGGAUGAUAAUGACAGUACCGGGAGAAUAAGCUCCGGCUAACUCCGUGCCAGCAG
Molecule: ribosomal RNA, 440 nt
Filed under: uncultured bacterium
Lineage: Bacteria
Description: bacterial SSU rRNA
Rfam family: Bacterial small subunit ribosomal RNA
Source: RNAcentral